Molecule: ribosomal RNA, 497 nt
Filed under: uncultured bacterium
Lineage: Bacteria
Description: partial 16S ribosomal RNA
Rfam family: Bacterial small subunit ribosomal RNA
Source: RNAcentral
GAUGAACGCUGGCGGCGUGCCUAAUACAUGCAAGUCGAGCGAACAGACGAGGAGCUUGCUCCUCUGACGUUAGCGGCGGACGGGUGAGUAACACGUGGAUAACCUACCUAUAAGACUGGGAUAACUUCGGGAAACCGGAGCUAAUACCGCAUAAUAUAUUGAACCGCAUGGUUCAAUAGUGAAAGACGGUUUUGCUGUCACUUAUAGAUGGAUCCGCGCCGCAUUAGCUAGUUGGUAAGGUAACGGCUUACCAAGGCGACGAUGCGUAGCCGACCUGAGAGGGUGAUCGGCCACACUGGAACUGAGACACGGUCCAGACUCCUACGGGAGGCAGCAGUAGGGAAUCUUCCGCAAAGGGCGAAAGCCUGACGGAGCAACGCCGCGUGAGUGAUGAAGGUCUUCGGAUCGUAAAACUCUGUUAUUAGGGAAGAACAAAUGUGUAAGUAACUAUGCACGUCUUGACGGUACCUAAUCAGAAAGCCACGGCUAACUACGUG